UACAGAGGUGCCAAGCGUUAGGCGGAAUUACUGGGCGUAAAGCGUGCGCAGGCGGCUUUGCAAGACAGAUGUGAAAUCCCCGGGCUUAACCUGGGAACUGCAUUUGUGACUGCAUGGCUGGAGUGCGGCAGAGGGGGAUGGAAUUCCGCGUGUAGCAGUGAAAUGCGUAGAUAUGCGGAGGAACACCGAUGGCGAAGGCAAUCCCCUGGGCCUGCACUGACGCUCAUGCACGAAAGCGUGGGGAGCAAACAGG
RNAcentral lists this ribosomal RNA (253 nucleotides) under uncultured bacterium. RNAcentral describes it as "partial 16S ribosomal RNA". It matches the Rfam family "Bacterial small subunit ribosomal RNA", at positions 524 to 776 of the family's 1533-position model. The record is from RNAcentral.